UGAUACACUGAUCCAUUAUCUAACUUGCAGCAUGAAGCUAUACAUCGUAAACACUGUUUAAAAUCAGUACUGGGGUUUUCAGAUAAAAUAUACUGUAUUCCCGGGUGUAUAUAACGCUUUACAACAAACUGCCUUUUAGCGACUAUUUACAGUACACUUAAUGGAAAGCAUUAAAGAGCUGCAGGCAAACAGUCAUCUGUACAUCUAAUCUACUAAUCAGUUUGGUGAGCAUGCAGGAAAUCGAAUCUUCAAAGCAAAACAUCAUCACAUUAGUACAAAAGACUAAAUGUCAGAGACAGACAUGAAAAGACUCAAGAAUGUUUGACCCUGUAAGGUACUACUCAGCUAUUUUAAUCUUCACCAUUGACUGGUUGGUGUUUACAUGUGUAAAAGGGCAAAACUCCCCUACUAAUGAACCAGAAAUAAAAUAUGCUGUGAUUGGAGUGGGGAUUGGGAUUUUCUUCUCCAUCUGUUUUCUAGCAGUAAAAAUAUACAUUAUCAGAAGACAAAUGCAUGAGAAUGACCAAUUAGCAGCACCAGCAGCAUCAUGAAGGGCAUCUACGGAAAGGAAUGUUGACAGCAGAAAAGACUGAAGACUAUCUUCGGAGGACAAACAAAUAUGAUGAUAUACCUAAAAGCGAAGAAGAGAACUUUGACAACUGACAGAUUAUUACUUUUUACCACAGAAAAAAACAAUUGUCAAAUUAGACCUGAAAAUUAAACCAUUGUUGUGGCUCUUUAGGUCAUGAUAGAAAUGACAUAGUUUUUGUAAGUGUUGUGUAAAAUAAAUGAAUUAUUUUGUGUGAAA
Molecule: non-coding RNA, 808 nt
Organism: Paramisgurnus dabryanus
Lineage: Eukaryota; Metazoa; Chordata; Actinopteri; Cypriniformes; Cobitidae
Source: RefSeq, a predicted model, not a curated record